UACGUAGGGGGCUAGCGUUGUCCGGAAUCAUUGGGCGUAAAGAGCGUGUAGGCGGUCCGGUAAGUCCGCUGUGAAAGUCGGGGGCUCAACCCUCGAAUGCCGGUGGAUACUGUCGGGCUAGAGUGCGGAAGAGGCGAGUGGAAUUCCUGGUGUAGCGGUGAAAUGCGCAGAUAUCAGGAGGAACACCUAUGGCGAAGGCAGCUCUCUGGGACGGUACUGACGCUGAGACGCGAAAGCGUGGGGAGCAAACAGG
Molecule: ribosomal RNA, 253 nt
Filed under: uncultured bacterium
Lineage: Bacteria
Description: partial 16S ribosomal RNA
Rfam family: Bacterial small subunit ribosomal RNA
Source: RNAcentral